Molecule: small RNA, 145 nt
Filed under: Bacillus tuaregi
Lineage: Bacteria; Bacillati; Bacillota; Bacilli; Caryophanales; Bacillaceae
Description: Ribosomal protein L10 leader
Rfam family: Ribosomal protein L10 leader
About the family: This family is a putative r-protein leader autoregulatory structure found in B. subtilis and other low-GC Gram-positive bacteria. It is located in the 5' untranslated regions of mRNAs encoding ribosomal proteins L10 and L12 (rplJ-rplL).
Source: RNAcentral
AAAAAUAACAUUUGUACCGAAGACAGCAGGUGUGUUGAAACGCUUAAUUUCCUGCCGAGGUCAUACGAUAGAUUUUUAAACGCACGUUUUGAGCGGCUAUUGUAUACUACCUCCAUGUCUGUACCAGUAUGGAGGUAUUUUAUUG